Long non-coding RNA from Choloepus didactylus (southern two-toed sloth), 400 nucleotides. RefSeq lists it as uncharacterized. The transcript is spliced from 4 exons. Lineage: Eukaryota; Metazoa; Chordata; Mammalia; Pilosa; Megalonychidae. The record is from RefSeq and is a predicted model, not a curated record.
AACAGGCAAUAACUUCAAGCUCUUGUGGUAGAUGUAGAUUUUUGCUACAAGGAAAAAACAUGUGAGACAAGCUGAGUACAAUUUAUGCUGCAGUGUGUCCUACAGCAACUGAGAUGUCGUACUGCACAAUACUGAAGGCCAAGAGCUGCUUCCUAAGAAGGAAAUCCUAAGCCAGGUGGUCACCUUCCUUCCACGUGGGCAGGGCCGGGGAGCCCCAGCACAGCCCACCUUGUCCUCCAGCAGCCAGCCUGCCUCAGAGCUCAGAAACAGCCUUCUGGGAAGACACUGCAGAGGUAAAGUGAUCAUGAGGCCCAGUCCUUCAAAUAUUGAGGAGGAGAAAAAUGAAGGGUCUUCGAUUCCUGUGAAAAAGAAGUCAGGAAACCAUAGUACUAUCUAGAAG